UACGGAGGGUGCAAGCGUUAUCCGGAUUCACUGGGUUUAAAGGGUGCGUAGGCGGGCAGGUAAGUCCGUGGUGAAAUCUCUGAGCUUAACUCAGAAACUGCCAUGGAUACUAUCUGUCUUGAAUAUUGUGGAGGUAAGCGGAAUAUGUCAUGUAGCGGUGAAAUGCUUAGAUAUGACAUAGAACACCAAUUGCGAAGGCAGCUGGCUACACAAAUAUUGACACUGAGGCACGAAAGCGUGGGGAUCAAACAGG
This 253-nucleotide ribosomal RNA is filed under the name uncultured bacterium. Its description in RNAcentral is "partial 16S ribosomal RNA". It matches the Rfam family "Bacterial small subunit ribosomal RNA", at positions 524 to 776 of the family's 1533-position model. The record is from RNAcentral.